RNAcentral lists this ribosomal RNA (253 nucleotides) under uncultured bacterium. RNAcentral's name for it is "partial 16S ribosomal RNA". It matches the Rfam family "Bacterial small subunit ribosomal RNA", at positions 524 to 776 of the family's 1533-position model. The record is from RNAcentral.
UACGUAGGUGGCAAGCGUUGUCCGGAAUUAUUGGGCGUAAAGCGCGCGCAGGUGGUUCUUUAAGUCUGAUGUGAAAGCCCACGGCUCAACUGUGGAGGGUCAUUGGAAACUGGGGAACUUGAGUGCAGAAGAGGAAAGUGGAAUUCCAAGUGUAGCGGUGAAAUGCGUAGAGAUUUGGAGGAACACCAGUGGCGAAGGCGACUUUCUGGUCUGUAACUGACACUGAGGCGCGAAAGCGUGGGGAGCAAACAGG